Fukomys damarensis (Damara mole-rat) is the source of this 2525-nucleotide long non-coding RNA. RefSeq lists it as uncharacterized. The transcript is spliced from 6 exons. Lineage: Eukaryota; Metazoa; Chordata; Mammalia; Rodentia; Bathyergidae. The record is from RefSeq and is a predicted model, not a curated record.
UUUCACUCUCUGCCGCGGGGUCAGCCCAGGCCUGCCGCGCACAGCCGGCAAGGGGGCGCUCGCGUCCCGCAGAACCGCGCCCUCGGCUUCCCUUUGGUUUUCUGGAAAGGCACGGGAAUCUGCUUAUUUACAUCCGCGAUGCGGUCCGCUGGUCUUGGAAGACAAAGUGACAAAUAUUUAAUUAGACGGUUAGAUGAAGCUGGACAGGAUCACAUGUCUUUUGACCUCUGUUGCCUGUGCAACUCUCACCUCAUCCCAAUGCAGACAUGUAGGAAGGAGGAGGCUCGCAGAGGACAGACACAGAAAAAAAUCACCUGCGAAGGAACUCAUCCGAGAGCAACCCACAAUGUCUGUUGUGCACUACAAUUCAAUGUGCUGAACAAAACCUACAAGGUAUAGGGGAAACAUGCAGAAAGGAUGUUUUGUGAUACCAAAAUGUUUGAGAGAAAACCACAGGUUUUUGAGAGACCUUCAAAAUGGACAACUGAAAUAUUUUCCAAAUCUAAAAAUGCAUUGAGAACAUUCUCUAACAUUUGCAGACGAUCUUAGAAGCCAUCAGGAAAUCUAUAAGGAAGUUUUCUAGCAUUGUAGCAGCUGCAAAGGAGAAUUUUAGUAAAAGAUUUUUACAGUUCUAUGAUGUGGAGAAAAGUCUGUUUUCUUACAUCUCCGAAGUUGAAGAACUUGAUCUCUUCUGCUUACACUGUUGAGGUUUUGGAAUCUGGAAAUGGAGCUAUAGGAAUUUAAGAAAGCUGCAUCUGGAAAAUAAACUUUAUGACCUGUGCACAAUGCUUGAGAAGAUGGAGUGAUGGAAGGGCAAGGUCAGCACAGCUGGUAGCUCUGAAAAUGAAAUCCUUAAGGUGUGGGAUUCUCUGUUCAAUAAUUUUAAGUCAAUGAAAGCACUUGGGAUUGCUCUUCUCACUUUGUUUGCAUCGCCUUAUGCUGUGAGCAGCUGUUUUCUACUUAGAAUUGUAUCAGAUCUGAUACAAGAAACAGACUGACAGAGGACCUGAACACUGAAUGUGUUGCUGUCAAACUAAGGAGUGUGAGCCAAGGUCUGACAAAUUAUCAGUGUGCACACAACAGUGAAGAUCACAUUAACUAUGACUGUUACCUUUCAGUAAAAAGCUAUUUGGCUCUCUGAAAGCUGUUACUGUGUUUUUCUUUCAAGACAGAGCUGUUAAUGUAUAGUAAUGCAUACUAAACCUCAGCAUUGAGGUUUCAUUACGGUGCUGGCAUGUUGCAGUCAGUAAGUGGGUUCUGGGUUGCACUUUGCCCACUUGGCCUAUGCUGUAUUUGACAUCAACAGAGGAUCCAGUGGAGAGAUGGCCCAGUCUCUUUCCCACAACAAGAUCCAGUUGCAAGAACCCCUAUACUGUUCACAAUAGUCCUGUAGGAAGUCUGCCUUACUGUGCUUUAACAUGGAUCCUUUUCAACACUGCCGCGCAGGAACUCACGGCAUUCUCCACCCUCAGGGUCUCUGUUGCGAUGAAACUGUAAAGUUACCCUGGAAACGUUACACAAUAAGAUAGGCUUCUUUUAAAGUCCAUAUUUGCUACACUUGGGUGAAUGUCUGGCGAAGGCUCCUGUGCUGAAGGCCUGGACCCUGGCACAGUGGCGUGGAGAGGUGGCUAACCACUUCCGGGAAGUCUUUGGCUGUUAGAAGUUGCCUGUAAAAGGGAUAGUGGGAGCUCAGGCCCUUCCUCAUCCUCUUUGUGUCCUGGCUUGUGACAUAAGCAGUUCAUCACACUCUCACUGUCCUUGGUCACCUUUACAAGAGACAAUGCUAUGGGGCCAUCUGAUUUUAGACUGCAAUCUUUAGCACUGGGAUCUAAAAUAAUCUUUUUCUUUUUCUUAGUUAACUGCCUAUUUUGUUAGAGUAAUGAAAGCUGAAUCAUCCAACACUGUACAUUUUGUAAUCCCUAAGACAAAAGUUGGAAUUGUACAAAGACGGGAAACUGUCAAUGAAAUGAACGUACAGAGAGGAAAUCACACGGAAGAUCCACGUGUCCAGAGUAUUGCUGAGUCAGGCUCUAGCUACCAUAUGGACUUAUGUGGACACAGCUCCUGACAUAAAAUCGAGAGUUGCUUUGUAUUCAUUGAUAAUGGAUAGACACAAGAGCAAUGUCAUUUUGGUUUAUUUUCAUUUGCUGUAGCAAAAUGCAGCCAAUGGAGGAACUUAUAAGUUCCAAGAAUCGAACACAGGGCCUCUCACACUCCAGAGGCAGCAGCUUUACUGCUGAGCUACAUCCCAGCCCACGUCAGCACUUCCUAAGCCUAUCUGUGACGUAGUACCCAGUCGCUGAGUUCCCCCUCCCCUCCUGCUCCUCUUCCCAGACUCUGGUACCUCCAGGUCUCCCUUCCAAAUAAGCGUCUACGGCUUUGCAUAUACACAGACUCAAGGGACAGAUACCUCUUGGUGACCAGCUGUCUGUCCAAAGGAAGCCCCUCUUGUCUAGGCCCAUCCAGCCACAGUGCUGCUGUGAAGAACCAGGGAAAAUACCAAAGAGCAAGCAAAGAAAGUUCAA